CAGUUGGAACCUGGACCUGGACUUGGGAUUAUGUUUAAUGAUCGCAACGAUGGCGAUGAAGAUGAUGAUGAUGGGUCCAGACCAGGCCAGGCCACUCCAUACCAUACCCGGCUGGACUGAGUCCCCUCUGCUAUCAUAAAGGCACGAUCAGGUGCAUACAUAAUAAUACUGGCAACUGAAAAUUAAGCGACAUUGUUGCAGCAAUUUUCAUCGUAUGUAUGGCUUCAACGGCAGGGAGACACAAAAGGCAAGAACAAGCUACAAGAUACACGAGCUACGCUACACUGCAAAGAUACAGAUACACAGCAUUCACACAGAUACACUAUAGUGGUAGGGGAGAGUGCCAGAGAGAGAGAGAGAGAGAGGGGGAAACAAAACUAUAGCUACGCGGCUACAAAGCGACAGAGCGCAAAAAAAAAAUGUGCUGCCGCUGCUGCUGCUAAUGUGAAGUUUGGCAACGUCGCGCUGCCUUUGGUGGGUUUGCAAUUUCGCAUCUAACAGAUACAAUAAUACCCCAGAGCCAGCUGUAGACGCUCGUUGUGCUUGUUUUUCUUGUUUUUUUUUUCUGCCUCACACACACACUCGUGCAAGUUGCCGUUUGCUUGUUUUCAAUUAGAGUCGGAAAAAAAAAACAGAAAAGGCAGCGGCAGCGGCAGCGACCGGGUAUUUGUUGUUGUUGGCGGACGAGUAUCUUGCAAAUAUACCGCACGUUGUGUAAACAUCAGUCGCUGUCGCUGUCGCUGCCUCAGUCGACGUCGCUGUCGACGUCGAAGUAAGCUUUUUUUUGCGUUGCCUUUGUGGUCGCUGCUUUUGUAGGUUUUCUUCUUCUUCAUGCCGUCUUCCUCUCUUUUUUCUUCUUCUUUUUCUUUUUCAGCGACUGCUUUAUUUUUAUGCUGGCAUUUUUGCGGCACUUGAAUCUGCUGGCUCACUCGCUCCAACUCUCUUUUUUUGGCCGCCCCUCUCGCUUCCUCUUUGUCGUUUAAUUGCAAAUGAGUCAUGCACACUCACGCUCACACUCGCACACCCCUCCCUGCCUUCCUGCCGCCCUGCCACCCUGCCUGCAGUCGUGGAGACAAACACAUGUAUAUUUUUCAAAGUCCAUGCCUGGUCAGCAAAAAAAAAAAAAAAAUAAAAAAUACAAAAUAUAUAUAUAUAUAUAUAUUCGUUAAUCAAUUGGAUUUCUUUGGAGGGGUUAGAGUGUUUGUGGGAAAGAGAAAGAACAUCGCGUGUGCAGGAAGUCCUAGCUACCACCCACCCCCACCCCCUCCUAUCUGAUAAAUAAAUAAAUAGACUUUGCCCGGCAGCAGCAGCAUCCUUCGAUGGGAACAAAAGAGAUUUUUAUUUCUACUCUCCACUCUCCACUACUACUCUCUCCCCUAGCAAAGAAAUAUAAAGAAAACGAGCCAAGAUCAAAGCGGAGGGUAAUUUGUUAUUUGUCAAGUUAAGAGCACUCGUGGAAGUUGCGGCUUAAGUUGCGGAAUUAACUAAACGAGCUUCAGUUUAAAGGAGAUUUCUUUUUCUUCUUUAUUUAUUUAUUUUUUUGGGGGGAUUUAAUGGACAUUAAAAAUAAAUUGGCAAAAAGUUUUUCUCAUUCAGAGACUAAACUCCCAGGCUGGAAAGCUAAAAAUACAUUUCAAAUUGAAUAAAUAAUUGAAAAUAAUUAUAAAGGCAUUAAAAAUAAAUCUAGGGGAUUUUUUUUCAGGGGGUGAUCUAAGGUUAUUAUUUAUUCAAAAAAAUUUGAUUUAUCAGAAAAGUAUCUAACGGAUAGCUUACUAUAUUAGAUAGAUGUCUUUUGUGAAUAAAUAAUGGGGGGAUUAUUAGUUUCUUGAUAAGGUAUUUAUGGAAAUAACAAAAGUACAUAUUAUAAAUCAGAAAUCCUAAAAAAUUCCUUUUUUUCCAUAGUAUUUUCAAGUUUCUUUAUAAAGUACGGCUAGAAAUAAAAAUUUUAUGAAUCAAAAAUACUGAAAAGCGCACUUUUUUCUAAAUGUUUUUUUUAUAAUUAAACAAAAUUCUGAAAAACGCACUUUUUUUUACAGUAUCUGCGGUUUUUUUUAAUAUAAAUAAUUAAAAAAUAUUAUAAAGUAUUUAAAAAAAAAAUUAUUUAUAAAAAAUAUUGAAAAAUAUAUUUUUUUUUUCUCCGUUUUAUCAAAAUCAUGCAUGUAUCCUAAAAAUCUCACUGUUUUCCUAUAGUAUAUGCCUUAAAACAAAAGUAUUAUAUCAUAAAUCGUAAAAAAAAAUCACAUUUUCUCAAUGUAUCUCCCAUUUCCAUUACAUAAGAUAAACGUAAACCCCACAAAAAACAAAACAAAAAUAAUAAAAAAAUAUUACAGACUCCCUAUUGGCAUUUCCAAUUCCAGAUAUUACAUAUUUGAUGGGCGUGCUUUCAUUUCCCAUUUUAUAUAUUUGUUGUUGGGCGUCAUAUGCCCAGGCCCCUUUGUUGUUAUUUUCCACAAAAAAAAUUGUACUUUUCACGCAAUUUGCAUGUUUCAUUGCAUUUGGAAUUCUCGUUUUUGUUUGUUUUCCAAUUAGCGAAGCAAUUAAAAAUAAUAAUUAAAAAUUUAUUAAACAUGAAAACAUUCUGCCACACCCCUUUUUCCGUCACACCGCCCAUUUAAAACAGCUGACAAGUGAAAAAAAAGAAAAACAAGAAAAAAAUAAAUACAUGAAAUUAUUACGUGAAUGGGAUAUAGGAUAUAUGAUAUAUAUGCUUUAUAAUCGUUAUAUACUCUCCACCGUAUAUAUUAAAAAAAAUACAUAAAAAGAGAAUUGAAUUAACGACAAAAACAACAAGAAGAGCACUAAAGCCAUAGCAAUAACAUCACGCAUACGCCCCGUGCGACAAUGGUUUGGAUGAUAAAUUAAAACCGAAAUUCGAAUGGGGCUAGGUAGGUAGGGGGUGGCUGGUGGUGGUGGGAUAUACAGCCCACAAUUGCAAUUGCAAUAAUUGACAAUAAUUUCAGUAAUUAUUCCGUAAAUUACUUUGAUUUUUUUUCCAGGCCCACCACCACCCUCCAUCACAAAUACAAUUUUUUAUCGUUUUUUUUUUCCACCCACAUGACAAUGGCUCUUCCCCACUCCAACAUCCGCCACGAUAUAAAUCUGUUGACUAAUUAUUUAUAGACAGAAGAGCAGGGCCCUGCCAGAGGCUAUAAUAAUAAUCAUAAUAAAAUUCUCAGAAAUAAUUAAAUAAAUAAAAAAUAGAUAUACUUUUUCUGACUUAUUAGUCAUAGAACUAUGUAUAUUAAAAUCCAUAAAGUAUCUGUAAGGUAUAUAGUUUCAGUGUAUCUUUUAAAUCCAUUUCUAGCGCUUUCCUGCUAAUUGUUUUUGAUUAGUUUCUGAGAGGGCGUUACGACCCGCAUGACUGACUUGGCUCGGUCUCUAGUUUGGCCAAUGAGAGGGCCGCCUUUCAUUGCAUUUUUCAGUCUUCUAGUCUUCAGACAAAUAAAAUACUGAGGUCAUUGCUCUCUUCCUUCACCAGACCAGUGCCAGAGACCCAGACCCUUUGGCCUGACUCGCAAAAUAGAUAACUCCAUCAGGCAGGCAAGAAAAACACGUCACGCGACCUGAAAAAAUGCCAAAAUAUUUUGCACUUGUUUAGGUGAUUUCAGGCCUAGUUGGACUAGUUUUCUUAUAAAUAUUUUCUUUCUGGCUCUACUAUCUAGUAAGUAAUUUAUUUAGAGCUAAUAUAGAGGUUCUAUAAACCCUUUUGUUUAAUAUUUUGGGGGUUUUAGCAGAUUUCUGUUUUUUUUAGCCUAUAUCUCAUAUAUGUUCUGGUUGCUGAACAGACUGAACUGUUCUGCCUGCCUGGUUUAUAAUUUAUUUGUCGCUUCCCCUUCUUUUUUAUUAUUUUUUUUUUUUUUUAUAAUUUCCAGUCCAAAGUUCAGUUGCAGUUUCGCAGACAAGCACAUGUGUCUCAUUCGGCCUUUCGCUUUCAUGCUCGCUCAGUCAUAGGCCAUCCACUCUUUCCCUCUAAAUGCGACUAUAUAUAUGCAUUAUAUACAUAUAUCUACCAUAUCUGUUGUCUGGCUAGAACAAAGAAAGAGCCAGGCUAUGGUACUUGUAAAGAUAAUAGCAGAAAUUGUCCAGCUACUAGCACUGGUCUGGUUUUUGGAGUGAGAGACUAGAGACCAGAGACCAGAGACCAGAGACCAGAGUAUGAAUAUGAAUUUGUUGUUUCUGAAUGGUGUGGUGUUGGUAGCUUCCUGCAGUCAGGAUGACAAAGACAAAGCCUCCACUGUUUAGCGGUCUUUGGACCUUGAGCUUUGGCUUACAACCCAGCGAGUCUGGUGGCUUUGUUGUGCGAAAAAAAAAUAAAAACUAAACCUGUUCUUCUUGCUUUUCCCGCCCAGGAUGCAGAGUCAUAGAACCCUUUUUUUCUGAUUGUUAUGCAGGGCAUAGCACAGCCCUACAACAAAUAACUUUGACAUUCAAAAUAUGCUAUUCUACAGAAGCGGAAAUCCGCGCGGAAAGGAGAAGGGACCGGGAUUGGGUUUGGGUUUUGUGCCGGGAAGCGGGAAAUGGGAACACCAGGCAGCUGUGCAUUAUACAUACUUGAAUGCAAAUAUGCAAAACACAAGCAUAAAAUACUUUUCCCUCCUUUUUUUUUUUUGUUUUUUUUUUUUAGAGCUCCAGAACUGUAUUCAAUGAAUGAAACGGUUUGUUGUGUUGUGGCAGCCUGCUUGCAACCCUUUUGUAGGGUCUUCACCACCAUUUGAUUUAUGUUAAGUUAUGCAGCAUGUUGCAGCAUUAAAUUUCACAUUUGAUUUCUCGGUUAAUUGCCUCCCGAAAAGAGAGUCAGACAGACAUAUCCCUUAAAUUUUAAAGAAAAAUUACUAAUAUCACAUUACAAUCAAUCAUGUAACUAAUAUACCUUGACUGCUAGAGACCAUAUGGUAUAGGGCUAUAUAGUCACCGAUCUACCCUACCAAAAAAAAAUAGAAAAUAUAUAGCUUCUGGCUAAACCGUUACACGUCAUUUCACUCAACUUCAAGCGAGUGUGACGGGACUGAGAACGACCGAUUUAGACACCCGGAAAUUGUCGUCUUCUCUUCGCUUUUAGCUUCAGCCAUAAGACCCCCCCUUAUUUUUUUUUUUUUUGCAUAUUUUUGUGCCCCUGCACAUUUAAAUAAAAUUCUCAUAUUUGUAUAUAUUUUUUUUAUGGCCGUCUAGACACCACAUUCGAACAGAAACCAACCCACAGUCCAAGCUCUAGCUCUUUGGAACUAUAACUCUACCUCCCCACCGAGACAAAAUAUAUUUGUAUUUAUUUGUGAAUAAACAUAUCUGGCGGAAUCGCUUUUAAAUUGCCAGACAUUUUUCUGAUUAAUGUCCGACAAAUUGUAUAAUCUGACAGGCACUUGUCAGUCAGUCGAGUUGAGUUCAGUUCUGAUCUCAAAGUUAUGUUCAAAACGCGUUGCAAUUAUUAUCCAUCGAAUGAAGUCCAUAUUUGUUUGUCAAAUCACUAAAGACGUGACGAAAGUUUCAUUCCCAACCAAAAUAGGAUUUUAAAUGGGCUAUAGACUAUAAAGUAUUGGAUAAAAAAAUAAUAUAUGGAAAUAAUGGGUGGUAAUUAAGACAAGUGGUAUUAUGAAAUGAAAUGUUGAUGCAAUACUCUAUACAGAGAACAAAGUCCCCCCACCGACAAUUAAAA
Molecule: long non-coding RNA, 5650 nt
Organism: Drosophila ananassae
Lineage: Eukaryota; Metazoa; Arthropoda; Insecta; Diptera; Drosophilidae
Exons: 2
Source: RefSeq, a predicted model, not a curated record